AGAUUAUCCAGGAGAUAUACGAAUUAAUUCUGGCCGGUGAAAUCGAAGUCGCCAAAGGGAUGCUGCGCACGCUGAUUAAAGUCACGUGCGGUUAUCCUGCGAUUUCUGACGAGGUCGGCAGGAAUUCCAAAUCAAUUAUGCGUAUGCUGUCGCCGGAUGUGGAUCCGGGUGUCAAAGCGUUUAUGGCCGUUGUCAGAGCUGCAGAACGCCAGUCAGAGAAAGCAGCGGCCCGGGGGAAGAUCCACUGAGUCGAUAACCAACGCGACGAACCGGCCACAAUGGCCGGUUUUUUU
This is a non-coding RNA of Salmonella enterica subsp. enterica serovar Macclesfield, 293 nucleotides long. The record is from Rfam. Lineage: Bacteria; Pseudomonadati; Pseudomonadota; Gammaproteobacteria; Enterobacterales; Enterobacteriaceae.